GCUUUCUUUCCAUUGGGAUGCCAGACUCAUGGAAUGCUGACAAGCAGCUCAGGAGAGAUGAAAUGCAGCCCAAAAUCGAGGUCCAAGCCCAUGUUACUCAUGGUGUUUCUCAGGGUGUUUCUCAGAUGUAAAGUAACUUUAUGGUCUUAGACAUGAAGAAUUUGGAGAAUUCCAGUGAACAGCAUCUAUUAUAAAACUCUUAUUCUCUGAGGAAAGGUAUUAUCUUUCUCAAAAAAGGCAGUAACAUCUUUCUCAAGGUCUUAAGGACCUGAAGAUUAAUUAAUUUCCAGAGAAAACAGAUAUUUUGUGUCAAAUGUCCUGGAUGUCAAUUUGUCAUCAGAAGAUUAUUGAUUUGCAUUUGAAACUGGAGAUGAAGAUUUCUGAUGGAGUGGAAAUGAAAAAUUAUGGCAAUGAUUCCCCAACUCAUCCUAAUAAUUGCCUAUGAGUCUCCACCAGUUUCUUGAUGAAGCUCUCUGAUGAUAAUUGGACUAGACUCUAAUAUAUAGUAAAGCACAAUAUCGUCUCUGUGGCAUCUAGACACUGUUUCCUGGAAGCAGACAUCAGCUGUAGGCUUCCACUCAUGGCAUGGACCUCAAGUUGUACCAAUUAUUCAUUUGGCCACACCAUCAUCAAUUGCAGACAGAAAAAAAUUAUAAGGAUCAGAAAUUUUGGGAAUCUGAUAUGAAAUACGUAAGAACAAAGCACAAUGUUUUUAUUUCAUGAAAAGCUCAAAUCAUUAUACUAUCACAUGUUAGCAUCUUAACACAGCACUGAAUCCAUACUGGGAUCAAAGUUGGUACCAUGGGAAUAGUUAUUUAAUAGAAAGCAGAAUAUUUGUGACAACUGCCAUUCCUAUUCAACAAAUUGGCAAGCAAUGCAUCAAAAUCAUGUAAACUCAGUAAAAAAAAGCUGAAUAAAAUACAGAAUGGCCAAAAAUAAAACUACUCAGGUCAGAAAUAUGUUUUUGAAUGUAAUGUAGCCACAACCAUGUUUUGAAGAGAAACCUCAGCACUUGGAAGAAAUAUAAUCCAAUAGCAUAACAGAAAGGAGGCUUUGUCUGGUUAUGAGGCGUGAAAGUACAAGGCAGAACUCUCCUCAGUAAAGAUUGCAACCCUCCUACAGAGAGCUGAACUGUAUGCAAGAGCCUAACCCAGCAAGGAAGACUUUCUGAGCUUACUGAUUUGGUUUUACAAAAAGAUUGACAGCAGCUCUAUUACAACCUGUAAAUUUAGCUGCAAAAUACAACUUGGUGUAUGUGGGAAAACAUGUUUAUCCAAGCAAAGAAAAAGCUUGAAAUU
Molecule: long non-coding RNA, 1298 nt
Organism: Mus musculus (house mouse)
Lineage: Eukaryota; Metazoa; Chordata; Mammalia; Rodentia; Muridae
Product: RIKEN cDNA 4930523O13 gene
Exons: 9
Source: RefSeq, marked predicted